UGGAAUGUACAAGUAAGGGAAGUAGUACCCGUAUCUGCUGUGGAGGGACGACCCCAGCCCGGCGCCCUGGAGGCAAGCAAGCAAACCGUUGUAAAGCCAAAAGAAAUAAAACAAUAUUCUUCGCCCAGCUCACCCGACCCGUCGCCCGAACAGCUACCGGAACCUACACCCGGCCCCUCCACGAAAUAUGGAAACUACAAAUAAGCAUUGAACUCUCCAGCAAUCAGAGUUUUCUCAAAAAAAAUUCUGCAAAAUCGUUUAUGGAUUUGAAGUGUCGGUGGA
This is a long non-coding RNA of Leptidea sinapis, 282 nucleotides long. RefSeq lists it as uncharacterized. Lineage: Eukaryota; Metazoa; Arthropoda; Insecta; Lepidoptera; Pieridae. The transcript has 3 exons. The record is from RefSeq and is a predicted model, not a curated record.